UACGUAGGGUGCAAACGUUGUCCGGAAUUAUUGGGCGUAAAGAGCUCGUAGGCGGUCUGUCGCGUCGGAUGUGAAAACCCAGGGCUCAACCCUGGGCCUGCAUUCGAUACGGGCAGACUAGAGUUCGGUAGGGGAGACUGGAAUUCCUGGUGUAGCGGUGAAAUGCGCAGAUAUCAGGAGGAACACCGGUGGCGAAGGCGGGCCUCUGGGCCGAAACUGACGCUGAGGAGCGAAAGCGUGGGGAGCAAACAGG
Molecule: ribosomal RNA, 253 nt
Filed under: uncultured bacterium
Lineage: Bacteria
Description: partial 16S ribosomal RNA
Rfam family: Bacterial small subunit ribosomal RNA
Source: RNAcentral